UGUUUUGAUGUCUGCCAAUAAAACAAGUUUUGUUCCUGUGUCCGACACUCCGCCUCCGACUCCUUUUCUCCGGUGCUACACCAUCGAUCGUUAAUUUACGCCGCGGUAAUGGGGUAGUUUGUAUACAAUAUUGACAAACAAGCUUGUCGAAUGUGGCUUUCAACAACGCACUCGUGUACUGAGGUACUGGAACAUUUGAUGAACCAAGAACGGUUGAUGGCACCAUUGGUUUUUUAUGGGGACCACUCACUAGAGCCUGAAAACGACAGCAUGGGGUCGCGGGAGUGUUGGAGCUUAACCCAGCUAACUUCAGGUGAAAGGCAGACUACACCCUGAAUGGGUUGCCACUCAGUUGCAGAGCGCAAUGUCCCAACUUCAUUGGAAUUGGGUUUGGACUUCUGGGUACAGCCACAUGCCAGUUACAAGAGGGAGUCUAUCCUUGUGCAACCGGAUUUCCAUCCGUCUAUUAUCCAAGCUGCUUAUCCUCACAAGGGUCACUGGAGAGCAGAAGCUUAUCCCUGCUUGCUAUGGGCGAAAGGCGGACCACUCCCUGAACUGGUCGCCAGUCAGUUGCAGGCCAAAUAUCCACAUCAUCACUGAGCGGGAAUCGGUCCCACACUGCCCGCACUAA
Syngnathoides biaculeatus (alligator pipefish) is the source of this 631-nucleotide long non-coding RNA. RefSeq lists it as uncharacterized. The transcript is spliced from 5 exons. NCBI's taxonomy places the organism in Eukaryota, Metazoa, Chordata, Actinopteri, Syngnathiformes, Syngnathidae. The record is from RefSeq and is a predicted model, not a curated record.